Oncorhynchus tshawytscha (Chinook salmon) is the source of this 706-nucleotide long non-coding RNA. Lineage: Eukaryota; Metazoa; Chordata; Actinopteri; Salmoniformes; Salmonidae. The record is from Ensembl.
CUGGGAGAAGGAGAGUGUGUACUUACGUUUUGCCCGGCGUGCUCGUGCUCAAAUCAUUUUGAUGCACUGAGAGAGAAAGAGGCGACGAUUCUCAGAACAGAUGUGCUCUACAAAUGUUUUAUUUCCUUUUGGAUGCAGAUGCAGGAUGCAGAGAGUCAGUUCUGCUUGAUUAAAACUACCUGAUCUCCAAAGUCCACGUUUAUAGUCUCUAUCAACCACACACAACGCAGAGUUACAGCGGUGCAGUAUAGCACCGGCUACAUCAAGAAUAAUAAACAAGAAAAAGUAUGAGCAAUAACAAUCGUGUGCUUUGCAUGCUGCAAAUAAUAAUAACCUGUUAAAUGUAUAACAGAAAAUAGGACUAAUAUAAUAUACUGAAUAGCAUCUUACCAUCACAACAAACACCCCACAGUUGUUUGAGAAACCUUUCUUUGAUAGAUCCUGUGGUGUGAACAAGGUACCAUUUUCAAUAAAGGAAUGACAAUCAAAUGGUACAGUUCAGUGGAAUAAUUUAAUGGAAUAUCUAACCUGAACAUCAUCCACACCAAAAGUCCUCCAAGGUCCAGGGGACAAGAGCCGAGCACUGUUUCUGUGAACACAGUGUAUGUGAAGUAAAGGAAAAGUACAAUUCAACAGCUUUUUAUACUCCAGCUUGCAUAACAGUUUUGAACACAGUUGGAACUGAAGUAGCCCAAGUACUUUUCAC